UUCAGCAGGUCGGUGUGUAGUAAUAUGGGGCAGGGGUGAUUCCUAGGACACAAAGGCUAUUUUGGCUUGGUCAAUGGCUGUUCUCUGAGGCGGACCAUAACUUUUACACACUUCUUGCGUCCCGUGGGAACUCAGAGAGAACAAUGUAAUUCAAAAGACACAUGUUGCUUUGGCAGUGGACUGAUCUGGUGCAGGGGGUUAACAGUUUGACAGUUAGAAUUUAGAAAUAUCAGAGAAGUCCCAUAUGAUUUGAGAUGAUUGCUUUUGUUUCAUUAUCUGUGCCUGACUUUCAUUAACAAUGAACUUCUGUGGUAUACUGGUUGGUGUCUUUUUUCUCUCUUUUUCUACAUAUACAUGUAACCUUUUAGGUGUUUCAGUCAUGGGAUAAUUUUAUUGAUUUAGUUUAAUUAAUUUUGUUUUUACUUUAAUGUUUUAUGAAUUAAACAGCUUGUAAAUACACUUUAUCAGUAGAAAAAAAUGCAAUAACCCAUUAAGCAUGAAAAGUAUGCAAUUAUGCAAGACAUUUCUCCUUACAUAGAAACUUUUUUGGCAGAAAGAGUUUUCAAGAACUCUUAGGAUUCUAUACUGAACCUCCUUGAACCUUUUUUUAAGAGUGUAUUUUCUAAAAAGCCACAGACAGUUUAUUUUAUUUCAAAACUGACAGGUGUUUCUUUAACUCUCGUCCAGGCAGGCAUAUUUUCUUCACCCAUUCUUAAAGUUAACAUUGAAAUUUCAUCCUUUACUCAAUGUGAAUGUGGGUUGUGAAGGGUCAAAAAAAAAAAAAAAAAAAAAAAAAAAAAAAACUUUUGAAGUCUUCUGUGAUGAACACCAAAAUUUAAGUAAUUAUUUUCUGGAAAAAAGAUGAGUUUCUAAUGUCAAUAGGGUAGCAAUGAAUAUGUUAAUGAAAAAGCCAUUAGAACAGAAAAGUAUCAUGCUAUUAUUAUUCCUCACUCUUUCAUGUCAUGAUUAUUUUAAUAGCUUUGCAAUGUUGAACGAAGUAUGUAAAUGUUUUUGGUACAAUAUGUAUUUUAUUAUAAGCCAACAAGUUUUACACAAUAUGAAGAUCCCUUAAACAUAACUAACACCACCUCUGUGUGACACAGUGAAUAAAAAUGAUUCUAAUCCAUAAUUUGACAUCUCUAAAACUAUACCAAAUCUCAGCACUAGGCGGCGCCAUUUUAUAUUACCCGACAGAGGAUCUUGCUUCUUUCCGAGCUUCUAACCUACCAUGAAUGCUGACCAGCGUGAUAUCUUUCUGUGGUAGGCUACUUCUUGAUAAAGAAAUAUUCUGCUGUAUACAGAAUCAUCUGAGGUGAUAUAAAGUGCGCAAUGCUUCACCAUUUCUUAGUCCAUGCAGCUUUUCAGACCAGCAGGUGGCUUCCAAGAGAUCAAAGGUUAAAAUUUCAGAUUGUUCUUUUCAGCUUUGUGGUGCUUUUCCUGGCACCACAGUUUUAUAUUUUGUCAAGGCCAAAAUCUUCUCGCUAUUGUGAAAAGCCAUUGUUGAGCAAUCUUAUAGUCUUCAUUGUGUUCUCAUUUAUAGCAACAGGUUUGGCUGUAGCGCUUACACUGACAGACCCAGUUCCCAAGAGCAUAAGGGUAGCGUUUCACUCAUUUGGACUGUUUGCGUUUAUCCAGGGACUUUGUACACUCAUUCUUACCCUGACUGCACCUCAAUGUGCGAACACCACCACAGAAUUGUAUAUAUUUUCUUUGGUAGUGUCUUGGGGCAGCAUACUCUCAACAGUUUUCUUUCUGGUCAGAGGAAGUCUUUGCCUGAUCCACAAACUGUUUCCGCAUUGGUUAAGAGAUACGUGCCUCUGGGGUUGAAAAUGAGCCGCUGCUGUACAGCCUUUCACUGACACUCAAUACAGUUAGCAAACAUCAUUGAAAUACUGCACGCUCCCCCUUCUGGAUUGGAGUGUGGAUCACCUGUGACUGACUGUAUUCGUCAUCUGACUCUAUCCACCAAACCGUGACGUCUGUGCCGUGAUGGUUCGAAUGAACACCGUUACACCCUUAUAUACUUCCAUUCAAAAUUUUGGGCUGGCCUGACAGUUUUUUGUCAAGGGACUGGGCACUAGCAAAGUCAUGACCAAAUGGCUUCUCCAGCACCACCCUCAGCCAUGCGUCAGGAGGGGGGCGGCAGGUGUUGUUGAUCUUCUCUGCAAUGUCUGCAUAUGCGAAA
RNA transcript from Megalobrama amblycephala (Wuchang bream), 2185 nucleotides. RefSeq lists it as uncharacterized. The record is from RefSeq and is a predicted model, not a curated record. The transcript is spliced from 9 exons. NCBI's taxonomy places the organism in Eukaryota, Metazoa, Chordata, Actinopteri, Cypriniformes, Xenocyprididae.